This 139-nucleotide unclassified non-coding RNA is filed under the name soil metagenome. RNAcentral's name for it is "partial internal transcribed spacer 1". The record is from RNAcentral.
UCAAAACAGCGGCCUUCGGGCCUCGCUGCACCCUUGUCUUUUGCGCACCGUAUUGUUUCCUCGGCGGGCUUGCCUGCCGGUUGGGCAUCAUAAAACCUUUUUGUAGUUGCAAUCAGCGUCAGAAAAACAAUAAUUAUUA